UACGUAGGGGGCUAGCGUUGUCCGGAAUCAUUGGGCGUAAAGCGCGUGUAGGCGGUCCGGUAAGUCCGCUGUGAAAGUCGGGGGCUCAACCCUCGGAUGCCGGUGGAUACUGUCGGGCUUGAGUACGGAAGAGGCGAGUGGAAUUCCUGGUGUAGCGGUGAAAUGCGCAGAUAUCGGGAGGAACACCAAUGGCGAAAGCAGGUAACUGGACUAGUACUGACACUAAACUGCGAAAGCUAGGGGAGCAAACAGG
RNAcentral lists this ribosomal RNA (253 nucleotides) under uncultured bacterium. RNAcentral's name for it is "partial 16S ribosomal RNA". It matches the Rfam family "Bacterial small subunit ribosomal RNA", at positions 524 to 776 of the family's 1533-position model. The record is from RNAcentral.